UCCCUGAUUUAGCGGCGGACGGGUGAGUAAUGCCUAGGAAUCUGCCUGGUAGUGGGGGAUAACGUUCCGAAAGGAACGCUAAUACCGCAUACGUCCUACGGGAGAAAGCAGGGGACCUUCGGGCCUUGCGCUAUCAGAUGAGCCUAGGUCGGAUUAGCUAGUUGGUGAGGUAAUGGCUCACCAAGGCGACGAUCCGUAACUGGUCUGAGAGGAUGAUCAGUCACACUGGAACUGAGACACGGUCCAGACUCCUACGGGAGGCAGCAGUGGGGAAUAUUGGACAAUGGGCGAAAGCCUGAUCCAGCCAUGCCGCGUGUGUGAAGAAGGUCUUCGGAUUGUAAAGCACUUUAAGUUGGGAGGAAGGGCAGUAAGUUAAUACCUUGCUGUUUUGACGUUACCGACAGAAUAAGCAC
This 413-nucleotide ribosomal RNA is filed under the name uncultured bacterium. RNAcentral's name for it is "bacterial SSU rRNA". It matches the Rfam family "Bacterial small subunit ribosomal RNA", at positions 84 to 493 of the family's 1533-position model. The record is from RNAcentral.